Molecule: long non-coding RNA, 1021 nt
Organism: Zeugodacus cucurbitae (melon fly)
Lineage: Eukaryota; Metazoa; Arthropoda; Insecta; Diptera; Tephritidae
Exons: 5
Source: RefSeq, a predicted model, not a curated record
UAAGUGGCAAUCUCGGUAGUUAGAGUAGCAAAAUUCAUUAACCCUAAUUUUUGUAUGUGUAAGAGAGAGAACAAUGAACCGUUCAAAAAUCGCCACCAUGGCCGCUGUUCAUUUCAAAAUAAAAUUUAAAGUGAAUGGAUUUAUACGUGUGUGCGCAGGAAAGGAAGAGCAAGGAGGUUACGUUGGAAUUGGUGGAGGUUUUUGGAUUUAGCACUGGUGCAAUAUAGUAUAACAACAACGCAGAAUCAGUGGAUAAUAACAUGAUAUUGAAAACACAAAGGCGUUAGGCGUCAAUUGGUCCUUCCAUCGGAGUGGAGGUCUCCCUCUUCCUCGGCUUCCACCGAGUCCAUUCGAACAGCAUGACCAAGCCCGCGUAGCCGCUGUCUUUUUUCGCUGGACUAUGUCUAUGUCGUCUAACAACACAUACAGCUCAUCAUUUCAUCUUCUGCGGUAUCCGCCGUUGCCAAUGUUUAAGGGACCAUAAAUCCCCAAAACCUUUCUUUCGAAAACUCCUAGUGCCGUUUCAUCGGAUGUUGACAUCGUCCAGGCUUCUGCACCAUAAUGUAGGACGGGAAUGAUGAGGGACUUGAAGAGUUUAGUUUUUGCUCAUCUAGAGAGGACUUUACUUUUCAAUUGCCUACUCAGACCAUAAACACAAAUACUGGAGGAUUACAAUAACUACAACUUUUCUUAGGCAUGAUAAACAAGACAACAACAAAUCCCAUCGGACAUUUAGAUUAGCAGUUGCACAACCUCUUUCCGACUGAACCUGUUUAUGAUGUACAUAUGGGAUAGGUUUGUGUGGAAUUGACAUCAAACAAUAUUGGUUCAUUAGUUUCGUUGGAUAGUUAUAAGGAAAUGGUUCGCGUUUAGUAUUAAUUUAUUCAUUUGCUAAUUCAUAAUUUAGAUGUAAAAUAUUAUUAAACUAUACAAAUGAAUGUUCGAAUACUAAUAACAUUCGUAAUAGUAAUGGAAUUUUAUUUGAAUUGUAUAACAACAACUACAAAAAAUAAAAAUGUAA